AAAUAUGACCCAAAAUCCACUCCUCACUUGGACACUGCUCUGGUUAUGAUGGCUGACAAGAAGAUCCUGGUGGUUGCUGGCUUGUCUUCCUCUAAUAAGGAGCCUGAAUUUAGAAGGUGAUGAUAUGAGAAAACACCAAAUAUUCAGAAGCCAUCCAGGCCUGCUUUGGAUGUCUUUUGGGACAAGAGAGCAUGUGAGGGUAUAUCCAGGCUGCAAAUAGCACUGAAGAUGUCAUCUCUGUGGCUGUUCUACGUUCUACUUCACUCCCAAAGACCAUGAAUUACUUCAAAAUAUGCCUGAUCUGAUUUUUUUCUAAAGUACUGGGCAGCUGUGCAAACAAUAUUAAAACAGAAAAAAUAUUUUGUGCCAUGCACUGCCUUGAUUGUACACGCCCUUAAAAUAGGAAACAUAGACUCUUUCUAAAAAAUACAGUUAUAUCAAGACCUGCUUUUUAAAUAUCCGUAAUGUAUUAUUACCUUUUGUGUUUCUGUUCAGUAAGUAUUACAUUCACUGAGAGUGAUUUGACCAACAAUAAAAACA
Homo sapiens (human) is the source of this 540-nucleotide long non-coding RNA. The record is from Ensembl. NCBI's taxonomy places the organism in Eukaryota, Metazoa, Chordata, Mammalia, Primates, Hominidae.